This is a non-coding RNA of Potamilus streckersoni, 81 nucleotides long. The record is from the annotation of a GenBank genome assembly. Lineage: Eukaryota; Metazoa; Mollusca; Bivalvia; Unionida; Unionidae.
GACUGGCCACUACGGUGGCCUAGUGGAUAGAGCGGCUGCCUCGGAUGCGGGAGGUAAUGGGUUUGAACCCCGGCUGAGUCA